UGAGUUCAAACAAAAGCCAGGAGUAACGAUAUUUUCUACAUAGGAACAAUUCAAUCUUUUUAGUUUUAACAAAUAUUUACGUAUACUAAAUCAAACAAAGAGGUCAAAACUUUGAGGAUAAUUUCAUUGAGCCUGAGCAGAAGGGUGUUUUUUUUUUUAUGGUUCCUUAGGUCAACGUGGCCCGUAUUACUUCAUUUGUCGAUCGACAGUUAGCGAGGUGACACACAUGAAAAUGCAAUCAGUCGUUGAUUUCCACUUGGCAUAGUCUACCUUGACUGGAAAAUCAGGAACAGAGCAACGAAAAACAGCCGUACUGCCACGACGAACUCGAGGAUUCUCGACGUUGACCUCGAAUGGCGGCAAAAUCACUUUUUUUGGCGCCAAAAAGAAAAUACCUGCACGGACGCGCACAGGAGUGGAGAGGAUGCGACCAAUGAAAUUGGCUGCCAAACACCUGUAGGUGGCAGCGUGAACGUCUGGUCGGAACUGCUCCGGCCGGAAGUUGACGUUGCAGUUGACGGUGCAGACGUAGAAGAUGAUUCGACUGGAUUCCAGAUGCCGCUGCCUGCCGCGCUGCUGCCUAAACGUUCUUUAAAAUCAAGUAUUCCGUUCAUUAUACAACUCAAAUGAAAAGGGGAAUAGAAUUGUGUUAACCUUUGGA
Daphnia magna is the source of this 661-nucleotide long non-coding RNA. RefSeq lists it as uncharacterized. NCBI's taxonomy places the organism in Eukaryota, Metazoa, Arthropoda, Branchiopoda, Diplostraca, Daphniidae. The transcript has 4 exons. The record is from RefSeq and is a predicted model, not a curated record.